GGACGUUCUUUGAGAGACCACAAGAACACAUCAAGGAUCAUGCUCCUCAUUCAACAGUAUGAGCAGUUUGGUCACAGAACAAGCCCCGUGUGCAGCAUCAUAAAGAAUGCAAAUUUGAGGACAUGGGAUGCUACUGUCCAGGCAUGAAGGACACCCACAGAGGAAGAUCAGGAAACAUAACUAGGAUACUAAUGUAAAGAAGAACAUGCCAGAGGUUUUAAAUAAAUAAAGACGGUGGAAGAAAUAAAACAUCCCUUGAAAGAGAACACAAGGGUAUCAGAUUUAGUGAACAACUGCACCAGACAGACAACAAUUCCAGGAAAGCAUGGCUCAAACUGUAUUUCCUAUUAUGCAAGAACAGGUGCAAUUAUA
RNAcentral lists this long non-coding RNA (372 nucleotides) under Gallus gallus (chicken). RNAcentral describes it as "long non-coding RNA NONGGAT003832". Lineage: Eukaryota; Metazoa; Chordata; Aves; Galliformes; Phasianidae. The record is from RNAcentral.